UACGAAGGGUGCAAGCGUUACUCGGAAUUACUGGGCGUAAAGGGCGCGUAGGCGGCCAUCUAAGUCAGACGUGAAAUCCCCCGGCUUAACCUGGGAACUGCGUCUGAUACUGGACGGCUUGAGUGCGGGAGAGGGAUGUGGAAUUCCAGGUGUAGCGGUGAAAUGCGUAGAUAUCUGGAGGAACACCGGUGGCGAAGGCGGCAUCCUGGACCGACACUGACGCUGAGGCGCGAAAGCUAGGGUAGCAAACGGG
This 253-nucleotide ribosomal RNA is filed under the name uncultured bacterium. Its description in RNAcentral is "partial 16S ribosomal RNA". It matches the Rfam family "Bacterial small subunit ribosomal RNA", at positions 524 to 776 of the family's 1533-position model. The record is from RNAcentral.